CCGCAGCGCACCUCGGUUCCGGGCCGGUGGUGAUCGUGCCGCCGGGCGCACUGCACCGGGUGCCGUGGGCGCUGCUGCCCGCGCUGCGGG
This 90-nucleotide transfer RNA is filed under the name Streptomyces cellostaticus. RNAcentral's name for it is "tRNA-Ile". Lineage: Bacteria; Bacillati; Actinomycetota; Actinomycetes; Kitasatosporales; Streptomycetaceae. The record is from RNAcentral.